GCUCAUAGUUUAGAAUCUAAUUUAAUAUUUUGAUAUAUAUGUUGCGAUAAACGAAAUUCUAGAGCCAAUUGCAUUAAUUUCUGCAUGCCACGUUAUAUUUCUACAAAGGAUGCUCGUUUUUUGCGUGGUCGCAAAACAGUCGAGCCUCUGCCCCAUAACGUAGUACCGGGAAGGGUUUAAUUUAUGGCACCCUCAAGUAUUUGUCGCUUUCACUUGCUGCUGCCAAGCCCCAUGGCAACAGGAAAAAAAAAAACCGUUCGAAACUCUCUUACAAUCUUCUCCAAAAUACUCGUGCAACAAUUUACAUUUCACUCUCAAAGGAACAACAAGUGUAAUAUCGGAAAUCAACAUAUCGUCGGUGUGGGAUUUCGCUGGUAGAAAUGAUUCCAGACGUGGAAGCUCAAUGAAUAAGCAAACACACAGCAGCGGUGUGCGAUAGAAACAAAGCGAGAGUACGAGCACUCGUUGGAACGAACUCUUGGCAGGUGCAACUCCUCGUCCCAACGACGAACGCCGACACACGUUGUACGUUGUUCGCCCGCUAGACCUUUCAUGGCUCCUCUCUCAUUCUUUCACGCCGUUUCUAAAAGAUCGUUGGGCCGUGCCAGGGACUUGGUUCGACGUACACAUUUGGUGUGAGGUACUUGGCAGCCUCGCGGUUGUAUACAGCUGGGGACGAAGGCAGAUGGGGAGAGAUAGAGAGAGAAAAGGAGAGAUCGUAUUGGACGUUGACCCGCGUGGUUCAACUGUUGCUCCCAUUCGCGCAUCCGGGAACGCGUGUAAGAAGGCCUGGGGAUCCCGAUGAUAGAAGAGUCUUCUGUUAGCUAGGAGGUCUACCGAGCUCCUCCCUCCGUCCAGUGUUGAAUGCCUGAAGAAUGACAAAGCCAGACGAUUCGCGCGAUUUCUAUAGAGAAAAAUGUUGAUCGUCUGCUCUUCUUUGAUAAGAUCAAGCAGAAUGUAGGUUGAACAUCGAUGGACUUGAGAUUUUUCUCCAUUGUGUUGUAAUGGAGGUGCAUUCUAGGUUAUUAAUCACACAUUCUUUUGAUCUAGUUGUGUAGGAUUAUUAAAAUGACCUGUUAGUACAGCUGUUAAUACAGCUAUAUAGCGCAGUUGUAGAACACUGCCGAUGGCAUAGACGUGUUCUCAUUUGUGUAAAUUAUUUAGAUGUUUUAUGGUUUAUAGAUAGUGGUCGGACACGUAAUAUCAUCCGCUUGAAGAUUAAUGGAAUUUCAUAGCACUUGGCGUCAUCGAUGACGCUUCGAACCCGAGAUAGCGCGUCAAAUUGCCAGCCAUUUAAUUUUUAACUCGCUACAUACAAAGAUACCCUUUACACGAAUCGUCUUCGACGAUUUCAUUUCUUUACUCUGCUCCAACUUAUUUUCCAAAUUCUCAGAAGUACUGCAUCAUAGGAGAAUCAAAAUAAAUAAAAUUUUUCACGAUUUCUUAUGAUUCAGCGAAUUCCCUGAUAGCAGAUUUAUAUGACUUCCUGAGUAUAUGUAGCGGCGAACGUGUAUUUCUUAAAAUAGUUCCAGGGUUACCUGGAAGACCAAGAUGACCAAAUAUUUAAUAACGUCAAUUCCCCAUAGAUCCCCCCCCCCCCGAAGAAAGUUAGUUUGCUGGCCUCAUUCUACUCGAAUCGAUUGCCCCGAGCCCCUCUGACGGUUGAGGAUGGUGUUAAACACAGCGAUUAACACAAUCUUUGAACAUGCUACCGCCAACGGCAACCUGUCACACGGCCGACAAUGGCGUCAUGGCGACGCCGGUAGUCAGCCGGUACGCGGGCGCCGUGGCGCCAGCGUCGCUUAUCCCUUCUCUCUGCCCAGUUCAUCCGCCCAGGCGUUCUUCUCUCGAAACCACGUCCUUCCUGGGUGUGGUUCGAAACAGUGUCGAAGGUUGUGCCCAGCUUCCAUUGUAUCAUUUCGACUUCGUCGUCUUCGUUUUCUUUUUGUCGUAGUCUCAGACGUCGUCUCGUUUCUCCUCUCUUUCAUUCAGGAGGACACACAGUUGCACAGAGUUCGCGUGUACACUCUUUAUACCGAGCGUAUAUAUAACGAACGAAGAGGGAGAGCAUAGUAAGCGAUAGGGAGAAAAAGAGAGAAAGAGAGAGGAGAGAGAGAGAGAGAGAGAGAGAGAGAGAGAGAGAGAGAGCGAAAGAAAAAAAAAAAAGAAAAACAACCGUGCGACGUAGUGUGUUUUUCAGAAACUGCAGUUACGGAAUACCGUCUGAUGAAUGUUUCUCAUACACUUUAGCUAUAUCGCCAUAGAUGUAUCCGUAUACCGCCUGAGAAGAUUUUUCAACAUAGAAAUAAACGAGAAUUGCGCGUAGAAAUCCAAAGGAGACGUGAGAAAUCGCGAAUCGACCAAAACAAAAAAAUCGAUUCGAAAGCGAAGCUGAGCGUGAUUUCUAUGCGAGACUGAAGUCCGUCAAAGACUCCUGUUAUGAUUCCUCUUUUGCAUCCUUCUCUUUUCUUUUUCUCCUAUCGUGCCGCGAAACGUAGUGAGGCAUCUCUAUAUUCAUCAAAAAAAAAAAAAAAAAAAAGAAAAAAAAAAAAAAAAAAAAAAAAAUACAAAAUACGUACCGCUGACAUAUACACAAGUACACACUGAUACACAUAUAUACAUGUAUUCACGAUGCAUUCUAUUCAUUCGACGAUCUGUAUAUAAACGCGUGGAACACGUGCGUGUUCGAGAAAUCGAUCGCGAAAUUUCUCGUGGAACGUGCAUCAGCGAGAAACACUACUUCGACGAUGGACGAUCAAUUGUUAUAAUUCAUUAUCGCGUCGCAAAGAAAAAAAAAAAAAAAAAAACUGAUUCUCCGACCGUCGCAGAGGUGAAAAAGCCUCGGAAUUUUCGCCUUGAGAAGUCAGUUGUGAGAUAAUUAGCGUGCUCGUUUCGAGCGAAGAUAUAUUCGUUUCGAUCUUUUUCGCCUGUGGACACGGUUGAACUGAUGGGGAUCGUCGUCAAAUUUAAUAUUGGAUUUGAAGUCGAAUAAUUUUUUCUACAACUUCAUUCGAAAAUCUCGUGACCGUGAGAUUUUCCGCCGGAGCGACGCACGAAGAAGAAAGAAGAAUAUUCAAUUUGAAGACGAGACAAAUGAAAAAGAAAAAGAAACAGAAAAGAUAACAAUCGGAGGGCCAAGAAACAAGCAUUACGCAUCCUAUUAGUCAGAUCCAUUUCUAUUGAUACUGUUGCGAAUAGUCUUACAUUGUUUAUCUUUAAGAUUUUAACACUGUUUACAAGAUAACGUUUUUCAUAAUAAUUGUUCUCGUAUCUCUUUUGUAGACAUUCUACGACGAAGUACACUUUGUACGAUGAUUUCGUUCGAGACCCUUGCGGGAGAGCAAGCGACUACUGUUUUUCAAUCUCAGUUUCCCGAUGCGAGGUUUUACCACGGGCUCACGUACACAUGAGAAUUGCGAAUGAACAGGGCCAAAGAAAUAGCUAAAAAAAAAAAACACGCAAACAUAUAAUAGGAAGCAUAUAAGAGAAAUUCGAUCGUCUCGAAUUUUCCUCCUUAAUUUAGUACGAAUUUCAAACGCUCGCGUGUAUAUUUCGCGCGGAGAUGUACGUAGAUUUUUACAAUUCCACGUUUCUUUUCUUUUGUACAAAUUGGUUGCUUCGCACAAUGAAAUGCCAUCAGUUUUAACGGGAUUAUUCAGAUUUCUCUUCCUCUUGACAAUAUAUUUUAUAAGCUUCGUUUCUGAGAUCUGCGUGAAGAGAACGGAUUUUUUCUUACCGACUCUCCGACACUCUCGUAACGUUCGAGAAGACGAGUCGUCCUUUCGAGAGUUUCACGAUUUUUUAUCUACUUCAGGCACAUCGCGAGUCGUAGGCACGGCGUAAUUAUCCUUUUUCUGCUGUGGCCGAUCGGAUUUGCAAUCACGUCGAUCCAUUCCCCCGUCAAACUUUGGUAUACUGGUGACAACGAUCGAAGGAGUUUUGCACCAACGAGGAGGCAAUUUCAAUAUUUAAAUAUCGUAUUUAUUGAAAGGGAGAAGGGAAAGUGGAGUAAGUUAGAAUUAUUUGGGUCAGAAAGGUAGUUUGAGUUAUUAAUCAUCGAUCAUUUAUUGUAAUUCAUGAAAUUUGCUUACGAACUAUUUUUUUUCAGCGAUCUGCGUUUGGCUCAAAUAACUCUAUCCUACUACGUAGGUGUUAUUUUUUUUUUUAGUGAAAUGCAGAAUUUGAAUGUGAGGUCUAUAUGAGUUUAUAUAACUAACUAUAUAUAGUUUUUAUAGAUUUAUAUACCUACUCUAUAUAGCUUUCAUAUUCAAAAAGUGCAAACGACUUGAUUUUGAUUGAUCUUGAAUUGGCCGAGUUACUCGAAAUAUAUGUAGAAUUUUGUUCACACGAAAUUGUCCGGGAAUGAAUUCUAAAUAAUCAGAGUUUAUCGAUCCUGCCCUCUGUCAGUGACUUUUUCCUUCACAUAAUGGGAGUUCAGGUUCAAAUAAAUUGAUUGCGAUCAGCAAAAGUUCGUUUGAUUGGCUAAUGACUAAAAUUUAAUUCGUAGCAAAUGAAGUUUGCGCAAACGAGGUUUUGCUCUAUUGAAAAGUUGAAGUUACCUUCUGAUUGCAGCAGACCCUUUGAUUCUCUGUUAUUACAUCAUGAACAUAUAUUUUGCAUACACGCAGCGUUAGCCUGAUUCGAAAGAUUCAUUUUUGCGCUAUUUUUUGAAAGUUGAAUUUCUUCAGUACAAAAUAUCUUGUUGAAUCGUUUGAAAUUUUGUGAGAUGUUUGAUUUAUGAUUAUAAAUACACUUACCGUUCUGUGAUCAACAACGAUCCAACGGGGCAUGUCUUACAUAUCUUCGCGGGGCAUUUAUAUUUUGAUAAACGUUAUUUCUGGAACAUUUUCGUUGAACAUUUCGCACGCAGUGACGCGAAAACAUCAACGCACGAUGACAAUCCUCCUUAAGAGAAAACAAAAGUAACGAUUGUAGUACAAAGGCGAGUGGUAUUCACGAGAGCUUGAGAAAGAACGAGGAAUUUUACGAAUCGUUUGAAUUAUAGCAAUUGGAAGUGAUACGGUGACGUCGUAAUAAUUAAAUUGCGAGAACACUGUCAAAUUUUCAAUUUUUUUACUGGAUUUCUCAUAAUUUGGACGAGAUGUAAAGUACGUAACAAAAUCUGAUUAAAAGUAUAUACACGGUAAAAUAAUUAAACUUAUAAAAAGUUAUUAUUAAAUUUCUCUUCUUUUAUUUUAUGUG
This is a long non-coding RNA of Frieseomelitta varia, 5202 nucleotides long. RefSeq lists it as uncharacterized. The record is from RefSeq and is a predicted model, not a curated record. NCBI's taxonomy places the organism in Eukaryota, Metazoa, Arthropoda, Insecta, Hymenoptera, Apidae. The transcript is spliced from 2 exons.